UACGAAGGGUGCAAACGUUGCUCGGAAUCAUUGGGCGUAAAGCGCACGUAGGCGGCCCUUCAAGUCGGAUGUGAAAGCCCUCGGCUCAACCAAGGAAGUGCAUCCGAAACUGAAGGACUUGAGUACCAAAGAGGAUCGCGGAAUUCCCGGUGUAGAGGUGAAAUUCGUAGAUAUCGGGAGGAACACCAGUGGCGAAGGCGGCGAUCUGGGUGGAUACUGACGCUGAGGUGCGAAAGCGUGGGGAGCAAAC
Molecule: ribosomal RNA, 250 nt
Filed under: uncultured bacterium
Lineage: Bacteria
Description: partial 16S ribosomal RNA
Rfam family: Bacterial small subunit ribosomal RNA
Source: RNAcentral